Nymphaea colorata (pocket water lily) is the source of this 3201-nucleotide long non-coding RNA. RefSeq lists it as uncharacterized. The transcript is spliced from 2 exons. NCBI's taxonomy places the organism in Eukaryota, Viridiplantae, Streptophyta, Magnoliopsida, Nymphaeales, Nymphaeaceae. The record is from RefSeq and is a predicted model, not a curated record.
GAAAUCUCUUUUAUGGCAGAGAGAGAGAGAGAGAGAGAGAAGAGGAGCAUAAAUGGAGCUGGCAGUCUUCCCUUUAGAGCUCCUCCCGGUGCCGUCCAUUUUGAAAUGAACGGCGAAGGAGACGCCGGCCCCCUGCCAGAGGACGGCAUCAGAACAUUCAUAACGGUGCGGUGCACGGAUGCUGUGUGAAGAAAAGCUCUCCUGCGCGCCGUCCAUCGGCUGGGGACGAACGGCUCCCUGUCCCCGGGUGUCUCGCUCCCUUCCCCUCUUCCGGUCGACGAUGAACGGCGGAGAUCUGGUUUCCUCUCGCAGAAGCGGUGGCUUCUCUGACGACCGCCGUACGAUCGCUCGGCCCCUUUCCGGGCGGUGGGCAGAGAAGCUCUCGUCCUCCGCCCCAUGUGGUGGGACACUUUGACAGACCCCGCAGUGCACAUGAUCCUCCUUCUCCCGCCCUCAUUUUUCGAAUCCGAGGCGAUGACGGGGCCCGCGCACUUGCCUCCAGCUCACCGGACGAAGGCUCUGCUGCGUCCAAUUGUUUUUUGCCAUGGACACUUGCGAAUUCAUAAUCUCUGAAACAACUAAUCAAGAAAAUUUCUUGUACCAACUUCAGGAGACUUCCACCUUUUUUAUUUGCCGCGAGCUGACCUGUUUUUUUCGAGAUCAUAGCCACUUGUUGAAUCUUUUCUGCUUAGAAAAAAGUUGUUUCUUUAGGGGGCGUUUGACGGGCAGGAAAAAUCCUGUAGCAGCAGAAAAAAAAUUCAAAUUUUUAAAAAAUUUCCGGUUUAUCAAACGCAGAAAAAAAUUUUGGACCGUUACGGUCGAUUUCGGAAACUUUUUUCCGGAGAAAUAUUUUUGCCCGUUAGGGCACACCUUGCUUCUCCUUGCUUUCUCCUCCCGCAGCCGCAUCAUCCUCUCUCUCGCCCGCAGCAGCACCAACCUCGCUUUCUCCUCUCACAGCGUCUUCCUCUCACCCGCAGCCGCACCAACCUCGCUGUCUCCUCUCACAGCGUCUUCCUCUCGCCCGUUUGCCCUCUCGCCUGCUCGCCCUCUCACAGCGUCUUCCUCUCGCCCGUUCACCCACCUGAGGUUUCGCCGGGGAAUCCGUUGGGAGGAAGAAUGUCUGCUUCUGUUGGGCGGUUGAGGCUGACCUUGUUGCUGCCGCUGAUGGUGGUGGUACUGGCGGUUGUGGCGUUGGAUUGGUGCUAGUGGAUGAUGGGGGAGAGAGGAUAGAUGGGGAAUGGGGAAGCUUGGCAGGCGACGGUGCCUUCAUCUGGGUGGAAUUGGAUGUGGCAGAAACCCUUUGAACAAGAGAUGGAACGCAAAAAUUUGAAUGCGCAGGCGGAUAUGGCUGCCCUGAUCCACAAGGAGAGACAUAGAGAGAGAGGGAAAGGGAAAGGAUGAGAUUCCUACAGUUCCUCCCUCUUUUCUCGCGGGUGGAGUUCCGUCCCCCUUUUGCUUCCAGUUGAGAAAAUCUUCCAGAGUAUAUCGGUGGUCAUAGAUCUCGACGGCAUCCUCCAAGAGCUAUUCGACCUCUCUGCAGAGGGUGUGAGAGUCGGGGCCAUUGUCGAGCUGGGCAAACUUCGAACCCACAAAGAGGGCGAUGUUUCUGGCCCACAAAUGCCACUUCUGCAGGUCCGGGAUGGUGGUGGUGUAGACCAGAGGGCGGAGGAAAAGACGACUCGGAGUUUCCUCGGUGAUGGCGGUGGUCGUCGUCUUCCUCUCACACAGAACCGUCGUCCCCUUCCUUCUUUUCCAAUUUUUUUUCAUCAAACAAAAAAAAAAUUUCCAGAAACAUAAUUCCUAUGUAACAAACAAAACUUGGUUUUGGACAAUUGAAAUUUUAUUUCCUAUUCAUUAAUUCCAGGAAUUUUUUUCUAGAAAUUUUUUUCCAUUUCCAUAUUUUCUGCCAUCAAACGGCCCCUUAAUGAACACAAAAUCCUCUUCGACGAGUUUUUUUUUCCUUUGCUUUUCUAAGUGUUGACAGUCUAAAUGCAUAUUGAGUGAUGGAUUGGUAGAACUUACCUGUGUUUUGGUUUUCUUUUAACGAGGGAAGUGGUUUUUUCAUUGCCUUCAAGAGAAGGCUAUACUCUCUCCCUACGUUUUUAGGCUCCAAUAAAAAUGUUUUAUGAAUCUUUUAUGGUAUAGAUGGCGAAAAAAUUUUCUGUAACUUUAAAGUAGGAAUGGCUGUUGACUCUAACUCUAUGUUUGAUAAGCCCAGAGCGGAACCAUUAAUUUUUUAUUAAGGAGGCUGAAAUAUAGUUUCAAAAUUUUAACAAAAGCCAAAAUAAAAGUUUUUAAAAAUUGCAUAUAUAUAUAUAUAUAUAUAUAUAUAUAUAUAGGGGGGGGGGGAAGCUUAUGAUCAUAAAUAGUUCAACUCUUAGACAUGGCAUUCGAAGCUCUUUUAACUACCUGCCCUUGGAUAAGCUUAUGAAUGGUUCAACUCUUAAACAUGGCAUUCUAAGUUCUUUAACUACAAUUUCUCAAUUUCUCUCUCUUAUGGUGACCAAAGUCUUUCUCUCUCUCUCUUCUUGUAUUUAGGGAAUUUGUUGAUCUCAAAUUUUGUUAUGCUCUGUCUCUUUUCUUACCCUAAGAGUGUAGUAUAACUGGUCGGGCAUAGAGGGCAAGAUGAGACGUGGUUCCUUUGAUUCCAGUGGGCACUAAUCAUCCUUAAGAGCUUGAGAUAAAGUAGAGGAAGCUCUCUCUCUCUCUCACUCUUUCUUUCCUUCCUUGUUCUUGUUUCGUCCAUAGCAACCAAGGGUUUAUCACUCUUCGUCUCUCUCUCUCUCUCUCUCUCUCUCUCUCCUCUUCGUCUCUCUCUCUCUCUCUCUCUCUCUCUCUCUACCGGCCUACUAGAGACCUUCUUUAUCACAUGCAUUGAGGUCUUCAAGGCCACUCUGUACUUUGAAGUGGAAAAGAGUCCUCCUUUGAAGAUCUGUCAGAAAAAAAUAAGUGAUUUCUAAGCCGAAGGGGGAGACAGGAAGGAGUCGGCCAACUUAUUUUAUGACCAGUUGAGGAGACAGACAACCCUUAGCCACAAGGGUUUGGCAAGCAGAGGUCUGUCGAAGGCCAGGUAAGUGUAGCUUCCCAUGCAGAUAUGAGAUUGAACCGCCUUAUGGAUAUGAAAUCCAUGGAUCUAAAAUCUGUUGUUUGCUAAACCUCAAAUAUGAAAUCCAAUGCUAACAAACAUGGUUUAAAUGUAAA